CCUACGGGAGGCAGCAGUGAGGAAUAUUGGUCAAUGGACGAGAGUCUGAACCAGCCAAGCAGCGUGAAGGAUGACUGCCCUAUGGGUUGUAAACUUCUUUUAUAUGGGAAUAAAAUGUUCCACGUGUGGGAUUUUGUAUGUACCAUAUGAAUACGGAUCGGCUAACUCCGUGCCAGCAGCCGCGGUAAUACGGAGGACCCGAGCGUUAUCCGGAUUUAUUGGGUGUAAAGGGAGCGUAGGUGGAUUGUUAAGUCAGUUGUGAAAGUUUGCGGCCCAACCGUAAAAUUGCAGUUGAAACUGGAAGUCUUGAGUACGGUAGAGGUGGGCGGAAUUCGUGGUGUAGCGGUGAAAUGCUUAGAUAUCACGAAGAACUCCGAUUGCGAAGGCAGCUCACUGGACUGCAACUGACACUGAGGCUCGAAAGUGUGGGUAUCAAACAGGAUUAGAUACCCGAGUAGUC
RNAcentral lists this ribosomal RNA (460 nucleotides) under uncultured bacterium. RNAcentral describes it as "partial 16S ribosomal RNA". It matches the Rfam family "Bacterial small subunit ribosomal RNA", at positions 338 to 795 of the family's 1533-position model. The record is from RNAcentral.